UCCUACGGGAGGCAGCAGUGGGGAAUAUUGCACAAUGGGCGCAAGCCUGAUGCAGCAACGCCGCGUGAGGGAUGACGGCCUUCGGGUUGUAAACCUCUUUUAGCAAGGAAGAAGCGAAAGUGACGGUACUUGCAGAAAAAGCGCCGGCUAACUACGUGCCAGCAGCCGCGGUAAUACGUAGGGCGCAAGCGUUAUCCGGAAUUAUUGGGCGUAAAGAGCUCGUAGGCGGUUUGUCGCGUCUGCUGUGAAAACCCGAGGCUCAACCUCGGGCCUGCAGUGGGUACGGGCAGACUAGAGUGCGGUAGGGGAGAUUGGAAUUCCUGGUGUAGCGGUGGAAUGCGCAGAUAUCAGGAGGAACACCGAUGGCGAAGGCAGAUCUCUGGGCCGUAACUGACGCUGAGGAGCGAAAGGGUGGGGAGCAAACAGGCUUAGAUACCCUGGUAGUCCACCCCGUAAACGUUGGGAACUAGUUGUGGGGUCCAUUCCACGGAUUCCGUGACGCAGCUAACGCAUUAAGUUCCCCGCCUGGGGAGUACGGCCGCAAGGCUAAAACUCAAAGGAAUUGACGG
Molecule: ribosomal RNA, 569 nt
Filed under: uncultured Microbacterium sp.
Lineage: Bacteria; Bacillati; Actinomycetota; Actinomycetes; Micrococcales; Microbacteriaceae
Description: bacterial SSU rRNA
Rfam family: Bacterial small subunit ribosomal RNA
Source: RNAcentral